GACGAACGCUGGCGGCGUGCCUAAUACAUGCAAGUCGAACGAAACUUUCUUACACCGAAUGCUUGCAUUCACCGUAAGAAGUUGAGUGGCGGACGGGUGAGUAACACGUGGGUAACCUGCCUAAAAGAAGGGGAUAACACUUGGAAACAGGUGCUAAUACCGUAUAUCUCUAAGGAUCGCAUGAUCCUUAGAUGAAAGAUGGUUCUGCUAUCGCUUUUAGAUGGACCCGCGGCGUCUUAACUAGUUGGUGGGGUAACGGCCUACCAAGGUGAUGGUACGGAGCCGAACUGAGAGGUUGAUCGGCAACAUUGGGACUGAGACACGGCCCAAACUCCUACGGGAGGCAGCAGUAGGGAAUCUUCCACAAGGGACGCAAGUCUGAUGGAGCAACGCCGCGUGAGUGAAGAAGGUCUUCGGAUCGUAAAACUCUGUUGUUAGAGAAGAACACGAGUGAGAGUAACUGUUCAUUCGAUGACGGUAUCUAACCAGCAAGUCACGGCUAACUACGUGCCAGCCGCCGCAGUAA
RNAcentral lists this ribosomal RNA (526 nucleotides) under uncultured bacterium. Its description in RNAcentral is "partial 16S ribosomal RNA". It matches the Rfam family "Bacterial small subunit ribosomal RNA", at positions 28 to 523 of the family's 1533-position model. The record is from RNAcentral.